GACGAACGCUGGCGGUGUGCUUCACACAUGCAAGUCGAACGGAGUAGCAAUACUCAGUGGCGGACGGGUGAGUAACACGUGGGAAUCUACCAUUAGGUGGGGAAUAACAGGCCGAAAGGACUGCUAAUGCCGCAUAUGUAGGCAUCUCGACAGAGAUGUUUAUGAAAGGAGUAAUCCGCCUUUUGAUGAGCCCGCGUCCGAUUAGCUAGUUGGUAGGGUAAAAGCCUACCAAGGCGACGAUCGGUAGGUGGUCUGAGAGGAUGAUCACCCACAAUGGGACUGAGACACGGCCCAUACUCCUACGGGAGGCAGCAGUGGGGAAUUUUACGCAAUGGGGGAAACCCUGACGUAGCGACACCGCGUGAGCGAAGAAGCCCUUUGGGGUGUAAAGCUCUGUCAACAGGAACGAAACAAAUGACGGUACCUGUGGAGGAAGCAUCGGCUAACUACGUGCCAGCAGCCGCGGUAAUACAGAGGGUGCUAGCGUUAAUCGGAUUUACUGGGCGUAAAGCGUGCGUAGGUGGUUUGAUAAGUCGAUUGUGAAAGCCCCGGGCUUAACCUGGGAAUUGCGGUCGAUACUGUCAGACUCGAAAACGGUAGAGGGAGGUGGAACUCCAGGUGUAGCGGUGAAAUUCGUAUA
This 640-nucleotide ribosomal RNA is filed under the name uncultured bacterium. RNAcentral describes it as "bacterial SSU rRNA". It matches the Rfam family "Bacterial small subunit ribosomal RNA", at positions 28 to 694 of the family's 1533-position model. The record is from RNAcentral.